RNAcentral lists this unclassified non-coding RNA (263 nucleotides) under Hevea brasiliensis (rubber tree). Lineage: Eukaryota; Viridiplantae; Streptophyta; Magnoliopsida; Malpighiales; Euphorbiaceae. The record is from RNAcentral.
AAAAUUAAUUUUAGUAAAAUACAUAACUAGAAAAAACAUCAAAGAAAUUUUUGGCUUCAUUAAUGUUAAGUAUAAUGUUAGUUCUUUACUAUCUACAUAUAGUUAUUUUAAUUUUAAAUUGAUUAAUGUUAAUAAUGUCCAAGAAUGAUGGAUUUAAUAUUUUUAUUUGAUAUAUUUAUGCUUAUAAGUUAGUUGUAUACCUUAGUUUUACUUAUAUAUUUAAGUAUUUAUUAAUUUCGUGAAUUUUGCAAAUUUUUCAAAAA